GGAAUAUUGCACAAUGGGCGAAAGCCUGAUGCAGCAACGCCGCGUGAGGGACGAAGGCCUUCGGGUCGUAAACCUCUUUUCUGGGGGACGAGUAAGGACGGUACUCCAGGAAUAAGUCUCGCCUAACUACGUGCCAGCAGCCGCGGUAAAACGUAGGAGGCGAGCGUUAUCCGGAUUUACUGGGCGUAAAGCGUACGCAGGUGGCUUCGUUAGUCGGACAUGAAAGCUCCUGACUUAACUGGGAGAGGUCGUUCGAUGCUGCGGGCGAUGGGAUUGGGAGAGGGACGAGGAAUAAACGGUGUAAUGGUGGAAUGUGUAGAUAUCGGGAGAAUAACCAGUGGCGCAAGCGGCGUCCUGGAGCACACCUGACGCUGAGGUACGAAAGCGUGGG
Molecule: ribosomal RNA, 391 nt
Filed under: uncultured bacterium
Lineage: Bacteria
Description: bacterial SSU rRNA
Rfam family: Bacterial small subunit ribosomal RNA
Source: RNAcentral